RNAcentral lists this ribosomal RNA (322 nucleotides) under uncultured eukaryote. RNAcentral describes it as "partial 18S ribosomal RNA". It matches the Rfam family "Eukaryotic small subunit ribosomal RNA", at positions 1470 to 1796 of the family's 1831-position model. The record is from RNAcentral.
CCCUUAGAUGUUCUGGGCUGCACGCGCGCUACACUGAUGCGCUCAACGAGUUUAUGACCUUGCCUGGAAAGGUUGGGUAAUCUUCUUAAAACGCAUCGUGAUGGGGAUAGAUUAUUGCAAUUAUUAAUCUUCAACGAGGAAUUCCUAGUAAACGCAAGUCAUCAGCUUGCAUUGAUUACGUCCCUGCCCUUUGUACACACCGCCCGUCGCACCUACCGAUUGAAUGGUCCGGUGAAAUCUCGGGACGGCGGCUUGGUCGCUUGCGUCCGACUGCUGAAACUUGAUUAAACCAUAUCAUUUAGAGGAAGGUGAAGUCGUAACA